RNAcentral lists this transfer RNA (17 nucleotides) under Cantherhines pardalis (honeycomb filefish). RNAcentral's name for it is "partial tRNA-Tyr". The record is from RNAcentral. Lineage: Eukaryota; Metazoa; Chordata; Actinopteri; Tetraodontiformes; Monacanthidae.
GGUAUGAUGGCUGAGGG